Molecule: ribosomal RNA, 468 nt
Filed under: uncultured bacterium
Lineage: Bacteria
Description: partial 16S ribosomal RNA
Rfam family: Bacterial small subunit ribosomal RNA
Source: RNAcentral
GACGAACGCUGGCGGCGUGCUUAACACAUGCAAGUCGAACGGAAAGGCCCUGCUUUUGUGGGGUGCUCGAGUGGCGAACGGGUGAGUAACACGUGAGUAACCUGCCCUUGACUUUGGGAUAGCUUCAGGAAACUGGGGCUAAUACCGGAUAGGAGCUCCUGCUGCAUGGUGGGGGUUGGAAAGUUUCGGCGGUUGGGGAUGGACUCGCGGCUUAUCAGCUUGUUGGUGGGGUAGUGGCUUACCAAGGCUUUGACGGGUAGCCGGCCUGAGAGGGUGACCGGCCACAUUGGGACUGAGAUACGGCCCAGACGCCUACGGGAGGCAGCAGUGGGGAAUAUUGCACAAUGGGCGGAAGCCUGAUGCAGCAACGCCGCGUGCGGGAUGACGGCCUUCAGGUUGUAAACCGCUUUCGCCUGUGACGAAGCGUGAGUGACGGUAAUGGGUAAAGAAGCACCGGCUAACUACGUG